UUGGUACCACAAGUUGCUUUGGCAUUAUGUCAUUGCUGUCUAAGCCCUCCUGGCCUCAGGACCAAGGACAUGGCUAUCAUGGCACGUUUGUAUUUUUUUUAUAUAUUACUUUGAUCCAAGGAUGAAAUCAAAUCAUAAAAUUUGAACAAGAAUGGUGCCCCAUAGUUGACUUGAACCCAUUUUUAUUAAAAAGAAAAACCUAAUUGACUUAAGUCUCAUGAUGAAGCCACUGAUUGGCUGCUUACAUUAUCACUGAGAUUGCAAACAAUUUUUUCUUUUCUUUUUUGGGUUGAGUAGAAUUAGCUGCUGAGAAUGGAAGUAAAUGCAUCCAGCGGGCAAAAUAUCUCAAACCUCUAGAAGUUGUAGAUCA
RNAcentral lists this long non-coding RNA (370 nucleotides) under Phoenix dactylifera (date palm). Its description in RNAcentral is "long non-coding RNA (PDAC_LNC000530)". Lineage: Eukaryota; Viridiplantae; Streptophyta; Magnoliopsida; Arecales; Arecaceae. The record is from RNAcentral.